UACGGAGGAUCCGAGCGUUAUCCGGAUUUAUUGGGUUUAAAGGGAGCGUAGGUGGAUUGUUAAGUCAGUUGUGAAAGUUUGCGGCUCAACCGUAAAAUUGCAGUUGAAACUGGCAGUCUUGAGUACAGUAGAGGUGGGCGGAAUUCGUGGUGUAGCGGUGAAAUGCGUAGAUAUCGAGAGGAACACUCGUGGCGAAGGCGGGUUCCUGGACAUUAACUGACGCUGAGGCACGAAGGCCAGGGGAGCGAAAGGG
This 253-nucleotide ribosomal RNA is filed under the name uncultured bacterium. RNAcentral's name for it is "partial 16S ribosomal RNA". It matches the Rfam family "Bacterial small subunit ribosomal RNA", at positions 524 to 776 of the family's 1533-position model. The record is from RNAcentral.